UUUAUAUUAUUAAAUAUUAUUGAUAUGAUUGAAUAUUAGACAAAAUUAAAUAAAUGGUCUAUAUAGUUUACCAAAAGUCAUAAAUUCGGUCCCUACUAAUUUUUUUUGACAUAAAUGGUCAUUGUGGUUUGCAAAAUUUGCAUGGUUUGCUAAACUUGCAUGGAAGGUCCAUUUUAUUCACGUCGUCUAUUUUCAGCAGUUAAGGCCUAGCAUGUGAGGGUAAUUUGGUUUUUCAGGUAUAACAGGGACUAGAUUCGUAAUAUUUGAUAAACCACAAGAACCAUUUUUGUAAUUUGUCUUAAAAGGCAAGUCACCACACCAAUGAUAUUUCCAAAAUAGGGUAGUGUUACCACCACCCAUUACCCUCUCAAAAAGAUUUUUAAAGAGAAACUCCAAGAUUUUGGACUUUCUUAUUUAUUUUAAAGAUGUUUAACCAUAAUCCACAAAUGUUUUUUAGCAAUAGGAUUUCCAUCCACUAUAAGAAGGUUAUGGAUAACUUCAACAUAUUUACACCAAAGAUUGGUGUUACUAGUUUUUAACUUCCACCAAAGAUUGAUGUUACUAGUUGAAAGACAAUGUAUAUAUAUGAUACAAAACGACGUAGUAUGGUAAGUUUAGGUACUUAAGCUUAUACAUAUAUAUAUAUAUAUAUAUAUAUAUAUAUAUAUAGGGUAUAUCCUAAAUAUGGAAAGUAUUUUAACCCAAUGUGGGGCAAAUACAUAUAUAAUGAGAAAUAGUCAUCAACCCUUCAAAUCAGUAGCUUCCAAUCUCCUUUGUGCAGUUUCCUGUUGUACAUCCAACUUUAAGCAUCACACAACUCAACUAUAAAUCCAGAACNAAAUCAAUCAUUAGUUAUUACAUACACUAAUUGUAUACACACACACACACACACAUAUAUAUAUAUAUAUAUAUAUAUGUCAUUUAAAAUAUUUUUAUGUUGAUAUUUGAAAAUAUGGCAAUUGGGCAACUUCGACAGUUGAAAGGGCUUACUUGCUGUAUUUAUUAUUUCAUUGGACACUAUUUUAAUAAUAUUUUUAAAUAUAAAAAUAAAAAGUGAAAAAGUGUCAAACACCUCGAGAGGUAUCACUGUCUGUAGUGCUCAAUAAUACAAGAGAGCACGUUUAUCUAAUGGUCUUUUAUUAUUUUAUUAUUAUUUUUAAAUGCGUUGUAAUGUAUUUUUAUUUGGAUAAAACAUUGUAUUAGAAAACUUAUAAAAAAGAAUAUCAUAAAAAUAUUGUAAGAAAUUAUAAAAAAGAAAAUAUUAAAAAAUUUAUAAAAUAAAUUUUUUACAUUUAAACAUUUUUUUGUACAAAUUUGACUAUUUUAUCUGUUAAAUAUGUUUACAUAUUAAUAUUCACACGUGAGAUAGCAUGUGAUAAUGAUAAUGUUAAAAUAUAUACAAAAAAUUUGUCUAAAUAUUAACGAUAAGAUAAUUAAGUGAGGUUAUUUUCCCAUUUUUGCUCCAAAGACGGCUAUUAUUGUGCAUAAAAUUUGACGUCGUAUUUGGGGGUGAUCAUUGUCCAACACCAAAUUAAAUUUCCUUUUCAUUAUGUGGUAAUAUUAAAUUCACUAGAACUGCUUUAAGAUUAUCACAUAUAAUAAUGAAAUUGAUUUUUUAAUAUAAUAUUAUUGAAAUAAUUUUUAUUGUAAAAUUAUAGUUAGUUGUUGGAGUGCAAACUUUAUUUUGUGUUAAAAAGCCAUUAUUUUAGUGUUUUUAUAGUGUUUCAUGGUUGCAUUGGCUUUUAAAAAAAGAUAAUAAUUAAGGUUUAUUAUUUAUAUUAUUAAAUAUUAUUGAUAUUAUUGAAUAUUAGACAAAAUUAAAUAAAUGGUGUAUAUAAUUUACCAAAAGUCAUAAAUUUGGUCCCUACUAAUUUUUUUUUUGACAUAAAUGGUCCUUGUGGUUUGCAAAAUUUGCAUGGUUUGCUAAACUUGCAUGGAAGGUCCUUUUUAUUCACGUCGUCUAUUUUCAGCCGUUAAGGCCUAGCAUGUGAGGGUAAUUUGGUUUUUCAGGUAUAACAGAGACUAGAUUCGUGACAUUUGAUAAACCACAAGGACCAUUUUUGUAAUUUGUCUUAAAAAGCAAGUCACCACACCAAUGAUAUUUCCAAAAUAUGGUAGUGUUACCACGACCCAUUACCCUCUCAAAAAGAUUUUAAAGAGAAACUCCAAGAUUUUGGACUUUCUUAUUUAUUUUUAAGAUGUUUAACCAUAGUCCACAAAUGUUUUUUAGCAAUAGGAUUUCCAUCCACUAUAAGAAGGUUAUGGAUAACUUUAACAUAUUUACACCAAAGAUUGGUGUUACUAGUUUUUAACUUCCACCGCCACUUCACAAGCAAUGAUAAAUUAAGAGAGUUCAAACAACUCACACCACUAUUGCAUCUUUUUUCAAGGCAAGUGACCAAAUUCCACGGCACACAAUUUUUUUCAUUAUUUCAACCCCAAAUAAAAUACCUUCUAAUACUAUCAAGAAAAAUAAUAACUUUUUACGGGGUCUAAAUAAGAAAAAGUAAUAUAAAGGAAGGCUAAAAGACCGAAUUCACAAGAGUAAGUCUUCCCUCAAAAAAGAAGUUCCUAGCAAGACAAACAAACUCUUAAUCUACCAUACAAACUCUAUAAAGUUUACUCUUAUGAAUAUCUGCCUUUAAUCCAGAAGAAAGAAACACCUAAGAAGCCCUUUUAGAUUUAUAAAAUUUAGCUUGGAUCACUCCUCCAUGAAUAAGACGUCAUCGGUAUAAAUCAAGUGAAAUAAAGUCGGGUUAUCAUUAGGAAGAGAGACACCAUAAAAUUGAAGAUCAGUUGUCUCCAUAACAACAUGAAGUCCUUUCAUUGUGAUAAUGAAUAAAAAAGAUGAAAGCGGUUCGGCUUGCCUCACUCCUCUAUUACUAUGAACUUUCUUAUUAUUAACAUUGCCCCACUCCACUUCUCAUUGUCAACGUGUCUUAUUACUAUCUUACAUAUUCUUGUUUUACCCUUCAAUAUAAUCGAUUUUUCUUAUACCUUUCAUAAGAUUCUUUUGGUUGAUAUUUCCCAAAAUCUUAGCAAAGUUCUUUGUCGAUUUCAUAUAUCCUUAUGUCAUAAGAUUCUUUUGGUUGAUAUUUCCCAAAAACUUAGCAGAGUUCUUCGUCGAUUUCAUAUAUCCUUAUGUGUCGAACACCCGCUAAUAGUACUUCCAUAAAAGUUAUAUGCAUAUUGCUUUUGUAGGUUUUCUCUAGCAACACCACAUAUGUGUUGAACACCCCCUAAGACUACACACUUCACCAUGUCAAAAUCUACCAACUAAUCUAUCUUCUUGCAUGCUCGUGAAGUUGAUGACUCUAGAUUUUAACUUUAGAUUUGAGCAUUGGUGAUGCCUCACGCGUACCAACCACCUCCAUUGUGCAUAUUAUCAAUCUGAUUAUAUAUUAUUUAUCUACUGAAUCAAGACAAGGAGCUCGACAUCCACUUGAUCACACAACUUUCUCAUGUUUCCUUGGAGCAUCUCUUGCAUACCAUGUAUCUCUCAAAGUAAUGUUAGGAUUAAUGAUCAAUAAAUCACACAAACACAUAAUUAAAAAUAUGGGGAAAAAACAAAAACAGAAAAGUGUUCGUCAAACACAAACACAAGAGUGAUCGGCUAAUCCACGACGAACUAGAGAGCUUUUAUUAAUAACCGCCAAACACAAUUUUUAUAUAAGCUUACAUUUGUACAUAGGUGACCAAUAAUAACAACUUGUUGACCAAAAAUAACUUGUGUGCCAUAAAAUUGCUUGUGGAAUUGAUCCAUAAAGCCAUUACAUAACCAAUUGGUCGUGCAAUGCAGCCUAUACCACAACUUUUGGAUUAUGACAUCGAAAUGAAAUACCAACUACCCUUGAGAGUUUUAUUCCUAGGGAGCUAUCCAUGGUCCAUGUAGGGUGUGGUUCUUAUGCUUAGGUGGUGUUUUUUAGAGGCACUUAUUGAGCUAUAUUGUUUACAGGUUGUUAGACCAUUUUGCUAAAGAUUGUUUUUCAAAAGAUCAAGACAUAAAAAGAUAUGUAUGUCCUAUUCUUGUAGAAGAAAUGGAAAAAGUCUUCAAAAUCCCAUAACCUUCUAAGUCUAAGAAAACCAAUUUUAUUUUUCACGCUUUAUUCUUCGAUGAUUUUCUUCCACCUCCACCACCACCUCUACUCC
RNAcentral lists this long non-coding RNA (4149 nucleotides) under Lactuca sativa (garden lettuce). Its description in RNAcentral is "long non-coding RNA (LSAT_LNC000212)". Lineage: Eukaryota; Viridiplantae; Streptophyta; Magnoliopsida; Asterales; Asteraceae. The record is from RNAcentral.